This 177-nucleotide ribosomal RNA is filed under the name Staphylococcus aureus. Its description in RNAcentral is "partial 16S ribosomal RNA". It matches the Rfam family "Bacterial small subunit ribosomal RNA", at positions 1358 to 1533 of the family's 1533-position model. The record is from RNAcentral. Lineage: Bacteria; Bacillati; Bacillota; Bacilli; Caryophanales; Staphylococcaceae.
UACGGUGAAUACGUUCCCGGGUCUUGUACACACCGCCCGUCACACCACGAGAGUUUGUAACACCCGAAGCCGGUGGAGUAACCUUUUAGGAGCUAGCCGUCGAAGGUGGGACAAAUGAUUGGGGUGAAGUCGUAACAAGGUAGCCGUAUCGGAAGGUGCGGCUGGAUCACCUCCUUU